GGAAACUGAGCCUUAAAAAGGUGAAGAACUUGACCCCAGACAUAACAACUAGAAAGUGACGAAACAGAGAUUGAAGCCCAGGUCUUUCUGGCUCUGUAUCUUGGCAUUGUCUCCUGUGCCUAGUGUUUACCAAAUUUCCAGUUUUUUGACAAACUUCUCCAUAUUGGGACUUUGCAUUUUCCACUUUUAGUUAUUUGUUGCAAAACAUACUUGAAUAUAAAAGUUUCCAUUUUAAAUUAGAAUAAUUCAGAAAUUACUCACACUAUGCAACUCUGUACUAUGCUCUAUAUAGUAUAGAAGAAAGUCCUGUCUUUCCUAAGACAAUUUUGUUUCUUUCAUGAGUGUUUCGACAAAUAUACAGAUAUUUCAUAUGAUAAUCAACCAAAAGUAUCUCCUUCAAAUUCUUUUAUUCUAAAAUUGCAAGUAAAAUAUAGAUAUAUUCUUGUAAAAGAUUCAAAUGACAUAGAAAAAGCAAAGUCCUCUCCCAUUUUUAGUCCCUUCCCCAGAAGCAGCCACCUGAGCCAGUUAUUAAUCUAGAUUCCUCACCAACAAAUCCACCUCCCCUUACUCUGCUUUUGAUGUGCAGCUGGGCUGUGACUCCGCCAACAAUAUCCCCAGAUUGCUUUACCAGAUGGCUUCCUGGAAGUUUUUUUCCAGCAGGAAGUGGGAGGAGGGGAGAAAGGACUUCCCUGCUUUUUCCCAUUCCUGUCAGUGUUAGUCUCACCAGUGGAAUUUGCCCCGGUCUCUAUGCCCUUUUGGCAACCCCAGGACCUUCCUUAGGGACUCCUCAGAAGUGCAGCUGAAACAGGUGGGGCUCCCUCCACAAAUGUCUGAGCACACUCCUCUGGGGCCUCCUUUAUAUGUCUAGAUUCCUGUAACCCUGCCUUUUCCUUUUUGUUUUCCCAGACCUAGGAUGGUAGCUCUUUCCUGCAGUUAUUUUCUCUGGUUUCCCUCAGUGUUUCUGCUGUGUUCUCUCAGUCCUCUAAUUCUUGUGUUAAAUCUCCUCUGUUUG
Molecule: long non-coding RNA, 1012 nt
Filed under: Homo sapiens (human)
Lineage: Eukaryota; Metazoa; Chordata; Mammalia; Primates; Hominidae
Description: long non-coding RNA NONHSAT201237
Source: RNAcentral